This 365-nucleotide long non-coding RNA is filed under the name Gossypium raimondii (Peruvian cotton). Its description in RNAcentral is "long non-coding RNA (GRAI_LNC010097)". The record is from RNAcentral. Lineage: Eukaryota; Viridiplantae; Streptophyta; Magnoliopsida; Malvales; Malvaceae.
AACUUUUAUUCCUUCCCACUUUCCCCCCAAAACUUUUACUCUCCUCCCCUCCCAACCCCCCAAUCUACCCAAAAUUCAUUUCCCACCAAAAUUUUACUCUCCCAUUUAUUUUUUCUCAAAAUUUUACUCCCCAAAACCCUCAAAACUUUUUAUUUUCCACCAAAAUUUUUAUUCCCUCCCACUUUUCCCCUAAAACUUUUAUUCCCUUCCCAUCCCAUUCCCACCUCCUAUCUAUCCCAAACCCUCCCCCCUCCAAUUUUUUUUUAAUAUUUUCCCUCCAAAAUUUACUUCCCCCUAUUUACUUUCCCUCAAACUUUUAUUCCCCAAAACUUUUUAUUUUUCUCCUAAACUUUUACUUCUCACCC